RNAcentral lists this ribosomal RNA (238 nucleotides) under uncultured bacterium. RNAcentral describes it as "partial 16S ribosomal RNA". It matches the Rfam family "Bacterial small subunit ribosomal RNA", at positions 15 to 235 of the family's 1533-position model. The record is from RNAcentral.
GAUAAUGGCUCAGGAUGAACGCUGGCGGCGUGCUUAACACAUGCAAGUCGAACGAAGCACUUAAGAUUGACUCUUCGGAUGAUUUCUUUUGUGACUUAGUGGCGGACGGGUGAGUAACGCGUGGGUAACCUGCCUCACACAGGGGGAUAACAGUUAGAAAUGAUUGCUAAUACCGCAUAACCCGAUAGGAUCGCAUGAUCCAGACGGAAAAGAUUUAUCGGUGUGAGAUGGACCCGCG